Molecule: long non-coding RNA, 996 nt
Organism: Psammomys obesus (fat sand rat)
Lineage: Eukaryota; Metazoa; Chordata; Mammalia; Rodentia; Muridae
Exons: 3
Source: RefSeq, a predicted model, not a curated record
CAGGUCGCCAAGCAGCCAGCCGGUGAUUGGCUCUGAGAACGCGCACAGGGACCCGACAAGCUCUGCUGCGCCGCGCUGCUGCCUGAGGCGGGACUUCCUUCCUGCGGCCCAGAAACCGGAAGUGGAGUAGUUUUCCACCGGAAGGAGAGAGAAAUUGCGACUCGGAGCCUGACACCUGCUGCUAGCCCGUUUUGUCCCGCGAAGUUGGGCCAGACUCUGGCCCACCUGGUGUGGUUGGCGACAGUCGUGUCCAGGUUAUUAUUCACUUUGCAUCCCCGCCGUAGCCCCUUCCUCCCUCCCUUCCAGCCCCGCCCUCUGCGCUUUCUUUGGAAUAGUCAACACUAUACCAGGUAUGAGAUGUGAGCGUCAGAGUUUGUUGUGGUAACUGGGAGCACAUCCAACACCACCCUGGGUUCCGCUGCCCUUCCUGUCUGCACAGAUCAGAAGUCACCACAGUUACAGAUGGGACUACGCCAGGCCCCUGGGUGUAUUUGGACAGAAGAGGAUUACUGGCCCAUGUUUUUAACCUCAUCUCACAGCCCCGAAGAGCAUACAUUGACAGCCGCCUUGAUUUCUAAUGACGAUUUGUGGGAUCAUUGAUGUCCCGUUUCUCUCUUCAGGUACACAAGUUCCCUGAAAGCAGAGCCGGUGUUCCCACGCUCUGAUCGUUCAGAGAUCAUGCAGCCGCAGCCACGCCUUUAAUGUGUGGAAUUCAAGUGGCGCAGACACAGGCCAGUGGGCGCAAUCUCAACACCCGAGUUUUCUGUAAACGAUUUAUCAGAGGUUGCAGCUGAACGUGGCCAUGAGGUAAACCUUGCCCUUGGUUGAAAUUUAAUUUCAUCAGCUUCUACAUGGAAUUAUAAGGACUUGGAAAAGAUCACAAAACCCAACAGGUUUUUCCUUUUUUUAAGGUUUAUUUUUCCUUUUUGAAGAUAACAUGCUUAAACAAAGGUUCCUUUUUUUUGGGGGGGGGGGGGAGUUCAAGACAGGGGUUCU